AAAUUGAAGAGUUUGAUCAUGGCUCAGAUUGAACGCUGGCGGCAGGCCUAACACAUGCAAGUCGAGCGGCAGCGGGAAAGUAGCUUGCUACUUUUGCCGGCGAGCGGCGGACGGGUGAGUAAUGCCUGGGGAUCUGCCCAGUCGAGGGGGAUAACUACUGGAAACGGUAGCUAAUACCGCAUACGCCCUACGGGGGAAAGCAGGGGACCUUCGGGCCUUGCGCGAUUGGAUGAACCCAGGUGGGAUUAGCUAGUUGGUGAGGUAACGGCUCACCAAGGCGACGAUCCCUAGCUGGUCU
RNAcentral lists this ribosomal RNA (298 nucleotides) under Aeromonas veronii. Its description in RNAcentral is "partial 16S ribosomal RNA". It matches the Rfam family "Bacterial small subunit ribosomal RNA", at positions 1 to 293 of the family's 1533-position model. Lineage: Bacteria; Pseudomonadati; Pseudomonadota; Gammaproteobacteria; Aeromonadales; Aeromonadaceae. The record is from RNAcentral.